GUAACAAGGUUUCCGUAGGUGAACCUGCGGAAGGAUCAUUACCGAGUGCGGGUCCUUUGGGCCCAACCUCCCAUCCGUGUCUAUUAUACCCUGUUGCUUCGGCGGGCCCGCCGCUUGUCGGCCGCCGGGGGGGCGCCUUUGCCCCCCGGGCCCGUGCCCGCCGGAGACCCCAACACGAACACUGUCUGAAAGCGUGCAGUCUGAGUUGAUUGAAUGCAAUCAGUUAAAACUUUCAACAAUGGAUCUCUUGGUUCCGGCAUCGAUGAAGAACGCAGCGAAAUGCGAUAACUAAUGUGAAUUGCAGAAUUCAGUGAAUCAUCGAGUCUUUGAACGCACAUUGCGCCCCCUGGUAUUCCGGGGGGCAUGCCUGUCCGAGCGUCAUUGCUGCCCUCAAGCCCGGCUUGUGUGUUGGGUCGCCGUCCCCCUCUCCGGGGGGACGGGCCCGAAAGGCAGCGGCGGCACCGCGUCCGAUCCUCGAGCGUAUGGGGCUUUGUCACAUGCUCUGUAGGAUUGGCCGGCGCCUGCCGACGUUUUCCAACCAUUUUUUCCAGGUUGACCUCGGAUCAGGUAGGGAUACCCGCUGAACUUAAGCAUAUCA
Molecule: unclassified non-coding RNA, 598 nt
Filed under: Aspergillus tubingensis
Lineage: Eukaryota; Fungi; Ascomycota; Eurotiomycetes; Eurotiales; Aspergillaceae
Description: sequence contains 18S rRNA gene, ITS1, 5.8S rRNA gene, ITS2, 28S rRNA gene
Rfam family: 5.8S ribosomal RNA (bases 228-381)
Source: RNAcentral